GAUGAAGAACGUAGCGAAAUGCGAUAAGUAAUGAGAAUUGCAGAAUUCAGUGAAUCAUCGAAUCUUUGAACGCACCUUGCGCCCUUUGGCUAUUCCGAAGGGCAUGCCUGUUUGAGUAUCGUGAACACCUCAACUCUCAUGGUUUGCCAUGAUGAGCUUGGACUUUGGGGGUUUUGCUGGCCUUUGGUCGGCUCCUCUCAAACGGAUCAGCUUUCCAGUGUUUGGUGGCGUCACGGGUGUGAUAACUAUCUACGCCUGUGGUUUUCUGCCAGAUAACCUUCAGCGAUGGAGGUUCGCUGGGGCUCAUAAAUGUCUCUCUUCAGUGGAGACAGCUUUUUGGACGUUUGAUCUCAAAUCAGGUAGGACUACCCGCUGAACUUAAGCAUAUCAAUAAGCGGAGGA
This 402-nucleotide unclassified non-coding RNA is filed under the name soil metagenome. Its description in RNAcentral is "partial contains 5.8S ribosomal RNA, internal transcribed spacer 2, and large subunit ribosomal RNA". The stretch from base 1 to 121 matches the Rfam family "5.8S ribosomal RNA", at positions 35 to 154 of the family's 154-position model. The record is from RNAcentral.